RNAcentral lists this ribosomal RNA (469 nucleotides) under uncultured bacterium. Its description in RNAcentral is "partial 16S ribosomal RNA". It matches the Rfam family "Bacterial small subunit ribosomal RNA", at positions 28 to 507 of the family's 1533-position model. The record is from RNAcentral.
GACGAACGCUGGCGGCGUGCUUAACACAUGCAAGUCGAACGGAAAGGCCCUGCUUUCAGGGUGCUCGCGUGGGGAGCGGGUGGGUAACACGUGGGUGAUCUGCCCCUUUCUUUGGGAUAAGCCUGGGAGACUGGGUGUAAUACUGGAUAGGAACAUGCUGUAGGCGGUGUGGUGGAUAGAGUAGGUUCGGUUUGGGGUGAGCUCGCGGCCGAUCAGCUGGUUGGUGGGGUAAUGGCCUACCAAGGCGUCGACGGGUGGCCGGCCUGAGAGGGUGGACGGCACCAUUCAGACUCCUACGCGACGCAGCAGCCUACGAUCGGCAGCAGUGGGGGAUAUUGUACCAUAGGCGCAGGCCGUGUGCAGCGACGCCGCGCGGGGCGUGACGCCCUGCUGGUUGUAAACACCUUUCAUCCAUGACGAAGCCCUUGUGGUGACGGUACUGGUAGAAGAAGCACCGGCUAACUACGUG